RNAcentral lists this ribosomal RNA (232 nucleotides) under uncultured bacterium. RNAcentral's name for it is "partial 16S ribosomal RNA". It matches the Rfam family "Bacterial small subunit ribosomal RNA", at positions 118 to 348 of the family's 1533-position model. The record is from RNAcentral.
UGAGGAACAUGACUUUCGGUGGGGGAUAGCCGGCCCAACGGCCGGGUAAUACCGCGUACGACCUUUUGGGGACAUCCCUGAUUGGUGAAAGCAGCAAUGCGCCGAAAGAGUGCCUCGCGGCCUAUCAGCUAGUUGGUGGGGUAAUGGCUCACCAAGGCGACGACGGGUAGCUGGUCUGAGAGGAUGGCCAGCCACAUUGGGACUGAGACACGGCCCAGACUCCUACGGGAGG